AAACGCCUCUUGUCUUUGAAUUUGUUGUGUUCACAAAUUUGUCCUUGGACAGGCGACUCUGAUAGGAAGAUUAAAUCGUUAGAGGGGCGGAUGGGGUCAAAUAACACCGACCUCAAAUAAUGCGAAAAAAUGGAUAUCGAUGCGUACGUACGCGGAAUUGACCCUUUCCAUUAAUGAGAACAGUUUCUGGAUCUUGUCCGGUGUUGACAGCGAGUCGCCCUGGAUACCUCUCAGCAGCAUCUUCAUGCAUCCAAUCACUGAUCAGAACAACGACACUGAGUGACGUAAGGUACUCCAUCAUAAUAUUGCGAUCCCCUCUGCCAAAUUCCGUGCCAAUGAAGGGUCACCUCCAUUCCCGA
Long non-coding RNA from Fopius arisanus, 359 nucleotides. RefSeq lists it as uncharacterized. Lineage: Eukaryota; Metazoa; Arthropoda; Insecta; Hymenoptera; Braconidae. The transcript has 3 exons. The record is from RefSeq and is a predicted model, not a curated record.